GCCGAGCCGGGAGCCCGCGUAGGGGCCGCGGCACCGAGGCUCGGGGGGCGGCCGGGCGGCCGGCGGCGGUCGUGGCUCGGCGGGGCCCGCGCGGCCGGGGGGCUGCUGGGGGUGUGCGCCCCCAGCCGGCUGCCCUCGUGGAUGCCUCCCGGCGGCGGCGGGCCCAUGAAAGACUGCGAGUACAGUCAGAUCAGCACCCACAGCUCCUCCCCCAUGGAGUCGCCCCACAAGAAGAAGAAAAUCGCGGCCCGGAGGAAAUGGGAGGUUUUCCCGGGAAGAAACAAGUUCUUCUGCAACGGGAGGAUCAUGAUGGCCCGGCAGACGGGCGUCUUCUACCUGACCCUCGUCCUCAUCCUGGUCACUAGCGGACUCUUCUUCGCCUUCGACUGCCCGUACCUAGCAGUGAAAAUCACUCCCGCCAUCCCGGUGGUCGGUGGCAUCUUGUUCUUCUUUGUGAUGGGGACCCUGCUGCGCACCAGCUUCAGUGACCCCGGCGUCCUUCCGCGAGCCACGCCUGAUGAAGCCGCCGACCUGGAAAGGCAAAUAGGUAACCCUGAAGAUAUCGCAAAUGGCACCAGUUCAGGGGGGUACCGCCCACCUCCCAGAACCAAAGAAGUCAUCAUCAAUGGCCAGACUGUGAAACUUAAAUAUUGUUUCACCUGCAAGAUUUUCCGGCCCCCUCGUGCCUCUCACUGUAGCCUUUGCGAUAACUGCGUAGAACGAUUUGAUCACCACUGUCCCUGGGUAGGCAACUGUGUGGGGAAACGAAACUACAGAUUUUUUUAUAUGUUUAUUUUAUCUCUGUCUUUUCUGACAGUCUUUAUAUUUGCAUUCGUUAUCACCCACGUCAUCCUUCGUUCACAGCAGGCGGGAUUCCUCAACGCUCUUAAGGACAGUCCUGCAAGCGUGCUGGAGGCCGUGGUCUGCUUCUUCUCCGUCUGGUCCAUCGUGGGGCUCUCGGGUUUCCACACGUACCUGAUAAGCUCCAACCAGACCACGAAUGAAGACAUUAAAGGAUCUUGGUCAAAUAAGAGAGGUAAAGAAAAUUACAACCCCUACAGCUACGGAAACAUCUUUACAAACUGCUGCGUCGCACUGUGUGGGCCAAUCUCUCCAAGCCUCAUCGACCGAAGAGGGUACAUUCAGCCCGACACCCCGCAGCCAGCCGCGCCCUCCAAUGGGAUGGCCACAUACGGGGCCACACAGUCCCAGAGUGACAUGUGCGACCAAGACCAGUGCAUUCAGAGCACCAAAUUCGUUUUGCAGGCCGCGGCCACGCCCCUGCUGCAGAGCGAGCCCAGCCUCACCAGCGACGAGCUGCACCUGCCCGGGAAGCCGGGCCUGGGCACGCCCUGCGCCAGCCUGACGCUCGGGCCUCCCACGCCGCCCUCCUCCAUGCCCAACCUCGCCGCCGAGGCCGCGCUCACGGACAUCCUGCCCCUGAAAGACGAGCACGUGGGCCACCAGUUCCUGACCCCGGACGAGGCUCCCUCGCCGCCCACGAUGCUGGCGGGCAGCCCGCUGGCUCACAGCCGCACCAUGCACGUGCUGGGCCUCGCCAGCCAGGACUCCCUGCACGAGGACUCGGUGCGCGGCCUGGUGAAGCUCAGCUCCGUGUGAUCGCGUGGCCCCGGCCCGCCCAGGGGAUGCUGCCCACCGUGGGAGCGGCAGGCGCGGUGCCCUCACCGCGAUCCCCCACCGUGUGACCCAGUGCACAGGUGGCCAGCACAGCUCUAAGCCCUGGGGUAAGAAGACCCCUUCUUGGGAGAGAAAUCGGAGGGCCCAGCCGGGCAGGACCUCAAAGGCUGACAGCUUGGUUUCAUUUGAAUUUUCUGCCCCACCCUGACCUGCUUCGCUAACAAUGAAAAUAGAGACCUGACUAUUUUCAGGUGUUUGGAAUAUGAAGGGUGGGCCUUGGGGGAGGGAGACAGCCGCGGGAGGCACCCCCCAGCAGAGUCUGGGAGGACAGGGGGCCACCUGGGGGGCUCCUCUUGCUGCUCUGGACCAGGUAACAGAAGGUUUAGGACCCUUGUGGCCGGACUGAGGUUGCACUUAAGUGUUAUGCUACUAAUAUUUGAAAUAGACAUGCCAUUCCAUUUGUUAAUUUAAAAAAGGGAAAAAAAAACCCGACCAGAUGUGGACUGCAUGCCACGCUCCAGUCUGUGCACGGUGGUGACGGUAUUUGGAAAGGAACUGCUGCUGCUUUUCUUUCUUUUUUUUUUUUUUUAAUUUCGUGAAUUCUCAAGUGCUGUUUUAUGGGAAGACGGUGCAACAGACCAAGGCUAAUGGACCUUGCCAUCCUCGCCAGCUUCUUCAGCUUAAUUCUACACAAACGAUAAACCCAGCAAGCAAACCCACUCAAGUUCAAAGUUGGGCGCUUGCUCCUCACAGCCACAUGAAAGCAAAGGUGCACUGAUCGGUGACAGCAGAAGCCCUGGAUGAUUUGCACUGAUGGAAAAGGGCUGUUUCUCCUGAGGAAGAGUUCCCCUCUUAUAGAAGAAAAGCAGAAAAGAGGAAAGAAAUAGAGAAGCACAAGUUCAAGUCUUCUUUGGAAUAAGGUCAUUUGUUCAUAGAGACCCGGGAGAGAGUUGGACCUGGUGAGAAGAGAAAGGUGGCUCAGUUCUCACUGCUCCCUGUGUGGACGAGUCCAUUCCCGGCUUCUUCACCUGGAGGAAAAGACAACAGCCUCUCCAUCUCUAACAUCCUCUGAUUCAGUGAUUGCAAUUUCCCAUGACCAGUCCUCUUCCCACCUCAAUGGGAAAAAGUCCACGGAGCAAGGAUCCUUACUCACUUUUCUCUACAUAAGGCAUGUUUGCUUAAUAUUUAAUGUCAAUCCUCCAUCCCACCUUCAAGUCCAUCCCCUGUACCCACUUGAUACCGCUUAUCAAAGAGGGGAUUGGGGGUAUUGGUGACACCCAGCUAGGAUCUGAGGGUCCAAGAGGAAGAUGAACUUGAGUGGGCUGAUUUGCUAAGACAAUUAACCUCUUAAAACCCCCAAACCAGAGGGAUCCCCGUAGUCCUUCGCUCUGUGGCUUGAAAAAGAAUGCAGUGUCUGCAGGUUGAACAGUUGCGCUCCCAGGAGCUGUCUUCUUCCCUGUGGGUGAAGGGUUGAUCUUUAGCAGACUGAUUUCCCUGGUUAUGGGUCUGCAUUUCCCAUCACCUGAUUGCAUAUAAAUCUAUUUAAAAUUGAGUAGUUCCAUCUAGUUGUGGCUGAAUAGACCUUGAUCUUUCUACAUUCUGUCAGUGGGUUAUGGAUUGAUUGCAUACUAUCUAUAAAAUAUAGGAUAAAUAUUUUACCAUGCUAUUAAAGCUUGGACCGUUCUCAAACACACUCACGUACACACUCAUUUUGUUGUUUAAAAAUUCAUCUGCCUCCAUCCUUCCAGGAGGGCUCGGGUGCUUCAGGCUUCUCAGGCACGUGAAGGCUGGAUUUAGCCUGAACGCCCAGGUUCCCAGGAAGACCGUGGAUGGAAUACCAGAGCAGCUGACAGCCUGCAACUGAAAGGGCAUGGUGACAUGUCGCUCUGCGCCUGGGGAGAGUCAGCCCAGCGCUUGUGCUGCGCUUGCUCAAAAAUGCUCAUUCCAGCUUUCAGAUGUAAUCAUUUCAGCCUGUGAGAAGGACAGCACCUUCUCACCCUGAGCCAGCAAAAAAGCCAGAUACCUGUUCUGGUCCGGAAUAGCACCAAGGAAGGAUGUUCUCGGAGCUCUUCCCCGCUCCUCCGAGUGCACUGCCAUCUUCCCCUGCUGCGUUUAGGAUGCUGACUGGGGUUCAAAACGAGAAGCAAACCCCACGUCAGGAGGCCUGAGUGGGUCAAGCGCUUUCUGUGGCUUUGAAAGCCCCUUGACUCUUCAUGCCCUGAUUCAACCCCAAGAAAGAUGGGAUUGCCAACACCGGCAGUGGUGCCCUUGAUGCCGAGGCGUGUGACGGCAUCUCCAGGGAAGUACUGGAACUCAAGCUACUUGGGGUCCCUGGCGCAGCCUUUUGGGGGUACAGAGCCAGUGACCAGCCCCUCUGUGGGUCUCAGAGCCUCCCAGCCCCACACCCCACAAAUGAUUCUCUGUAACAUCACUGCCCCGUUCCAGAGCUCAGCCCACAAACCACCCUCUUCACCUGGAACCCUGUGUUUCUCUGCCUUGGCUUACAGUUUUUUAAGUUAGCUGAAAGGCAUCAGGGGUUUCAGCUAAUAGUAUACAGAAUAUUUCCAAAGUUAGUUGCCUUUCAUUUAUCCACACUGGUUAACCCACUUAGUUCUUGACAGGUAAGAGAUAGAGGAUAAAGGGAAUAAAUGUUAAAAAUACUUUUCUGAUUAAUGCCUUACCACUGUUUUGAAGCUGAGCCUAAAUCAAAUCAAUGUUUACAUUUUUUAUUAAGUACCUGUGUGUCUUGCAUGUGUCAAAUGAGAGAGCCUUUCAAAUGAAUUCUUAAUCCUUCUGGUCCCUGCACCUGCCCUGGAGACGUGCAUGUGUCACUGAAUGUUGUUUUCCAUGUUACCUCGUUAAAAAAAAAAAAAAACUGCCUCUCAUUUGUUCUCUUGAAAUGUGUCUUGCUCUGUCUUACAAGAUUAAGUUAUCAUUGAAAUAUUAAAUAAGCUGAAGCGCCGUUUUCUUGCAAAUAAAUGUCAAAGAUGCUAACAGUUUCAUAAAUCAGUAAAUCCUGUCUACUUGCCCUUUGUAUGUGGUCUUGAUAAUAGAGCCAAGAUGGAUUUUCAAAUACAAGUAGUUAGUACGUUAAUCCAGCCAUUCAAAAUAAGAGGGAGGUCAGAAAUUGGAUUGUUUCUGGAGCAACCAGAUUUGCAGCUGCCACAAAACUAGAUAAACAGCCUCCACUGAAAUUAUUUUUUCAAUCUCAUAAACCCCAGGAAUUACAUACAGAAUGGAUUGGAAAUGAGCAUCUUGUGCUAAUGUAAAGACUUUUCCUCCAUCAAUUGCUGAUUUUUUAAAAAGAUAACUUGGUAUUGCUUCUGAAGAUGUAAAUGAAAACUCUAAUUGCCCUUGGUCUUUUAAGGUGGAUUGUUGAACCAAGAGGCUGUAUGGCAUAUCCAGAGACCUAUUUUCUAGGUUUACAUGAAUGGAGAUAGUUUUUGCCUGCAGCUAAAAAAAAAAGAGAAAAAUGUUGAAGCCUUGCUGACUGUUUGUCCAGGGCAUCCUGGGUUAGUAUUUCACAAUAGUCAAACAUUUUGGCAUAGAAGGGAAAAAAAGCAUUUUAAACUUAAGCGGAUUCAAAGCCCUAAAUCUGAACCAUGGUGAUCAAAGAACACAUAACAUGGCAUGUUUUCAGAGAAAUUAUGCUUAUUUAUAUGCCUUUCAUGUUUUAAUCAAUGUUUGCAGAAUUGAUCUUAAAUCUGAAAUGAAUUAAGAAAGUAUUUUUUCCUUCUUUAAUAAAAAAUGCUAAUGGUAUCAAAUAUAAA
RNA transcript from Bubalus bubalis (water buffalo), 5408 nucleotides. It is a transcript of the gene named zinc finger DHHC-type palmitoyltransferase 14, with no coding region annotated. NCBI's taxonomy places the organism in Eukaryota, Metazoa, Chordata, Mammalia, Artiodactyla, Bovidae. The transcript is spliced from 11 exons. The record is from RefSeq and is a predicted model, not a curated record.